CCUUCGGGGGGCAGCAGUGGGGAAUAUUGCACAAUGGGGGAAACCCUGAUGCAGCAACGCCGCGUGAGUGAAGAAGUAUUUCGGUAUGUAAAGCUCUAUCAGCAGGGAAGAAGAAAGACGGUACCUGACUAAGAAGCCCCGGCUAACUACGUGCCAGCAGCCGCGGUAAUACGUAGGGGGCAAGCGUUAUCCGGAUUUACUGGGUGUAAAGGGAGCGUAGACGGCUGUGCAAGUCUGAAGUGAAAGCCCGUGGCUCAACCGCGGAACUGCUUUGGAAACUGUAUAGCUUGAGUACUGGAGAGGCAGGCGGAAUUCCUAGUGUAGCGGUGAAAUGCGUAGAUAUUAGGAGGAACAUCAGUGGCGAAGGCGACUAUCUGGCACAUAACUGACGCUGAGGAGCGAAAGCGUGGGUAGCAAACAGGAUUAGAUACCCUAGUAGUC
RNAcentral lists this ribosomal RNA (441 nucleotides) under uncultured bacterium. RNAcentral's name for it is "partial 16S ribosomal RNA". It matches the Rfam family "Bacterial small subunit ribosomal RNA", at positions 338 to 795 of the family's 1533-position model. The record is from RNAcentral.